CGGAAAGGCCUCAGCUUGCUGGGGUACUCGAGUGGCGAACGGGUGAGUAACACGUGGGUGAUCUGCCCUGCACUUUGGGAUAAGCCCGGGAAACUGGGUCUAAUACCGAAUAUGACCACUUCUUGGAUGUUGUGGUGGAAAGCUUUUGCGGUGUGGGAUGAGCCUGCGGCCUAUCAGCUUGUUGGUGGGGUAAUGGCCUACCAAGGCGGCGACGGGUAUCCGGCCUGAGAGGGUGUACGGACACAUUGGGACUGAGAUACGGCCCAGACUCCUACGGGAGGCAGCAGUGGGGAAUAUUGCACAAUGGGCGCAAGCCUGAUGCAGCGACGCCGCGUGGGGGAUGAAGGCCUUCGGGUUGUAAACUCCUUUCGCUAUCGACGAAGCCACUUGUGGUGACGGUAGGUAGAUAAGAAGCACCGGCUAACUACGUGCCAGCAGCCGCGGUAAUACGUAGGGUGCAAGCGUUGUCCGGAAUUACUGGGCGUAAAGAGCUCGUAGGUGGUUUGUCGCGUCGUCUGUGAAAUCCCGGGGCUUAACUUCGGGCGUGCAGGCGAUACGGGCAUAACUUGAGUGCUGUAGGGGAGACUGGAAUUCCUGGUGUAGCGGUGAAAUGCGCAGAUAUCAGGAGGAACACCGAUGGCGAAGGCAGGUCUCUGGGCAGUAACUGACGCUGAGGAGCGAAAGCAUGGGUAGCGAACAGGAUUAGAUACCCUGGUAGUCCAUGCCGUAAACGGUGGGCGCUAGGUGUAGGGGGCUUCCACGUCUUCUGUGCCGUAGCUAACGCAUUAAGCGCCCCGCCUGGGGAGUACGGCCGCAAGGCUAAAACUCAAAGGAAUUGACGGGGGCCCGCACAAGCGGCGGAGCAUGUGGAUUAAUUCGAUGCAACGCGAAGAAUCUUACCUGGGCUUGACAUGUACCGGAUCGGGCUAGAGAUAGUCUUUCCCUUGUGGUCGGUAUACAGGUGGUGCAUGGUUGUCGUCAGCUCGUGUCGUGAGAUGUUGGGUUAAGUCCCGCAACGAGCGCAACCCUUGUCUUAUGUUGCCAGCACGUUAUGGUGGGAACUCAUGAGAGACUGCCGGGGUUAACUCGGAGGAAGGUGGGGAUGACGUCAAAUCAUCAUGCCCCUUAUGUCCAGGGCUUCACA
This 1144-nucleotide ribosomal RNA is filed under the name Corynebacterium diphtheriae. Its description in RNAcentral is "bacterial SSU rRNA". It matches the Rfam family "Bacterial small subunit ribosomal RNA", at positions 67 to 1220 of the family's 1533-position model. Lineage: Bacteria; Bacillati; Actinomycetota; Actinomycetes; Mycobacteriales; Corynebacteriaceae. The record is from RNAcentral.